UUUACAAACGUUUAGCUAGACAGAAAAGUUCUCGAAGUUCGCACCUCACCCAGAAACCCAGACAGCUUCACCUCUCACUGUGUUCGCCACACUUUGCGGCACUUAGCCCAGGCACUCUGGCAGCCCAGAGGGAGCUCGUCCCCGGAUCAAGCCCAGCAGGCACCGUCGGGAAGCACCGAGUGCGCGGCACGCAGAGCCCGCACCCACCUGGAGCCCGCGCUGGCCCGUGAGCGCCGCGCGCAGCCCUGGCUCCCGCCCGCGUCUCUCCCUCCACACCUCCCCGGGAGCAGAGGGAGCCGGCUCCGGCCUCGGCCAGCCCCAGAGAGGGGGCCCCCACAGCACAGCGGCGGGCUGAAGGGCUCCUCGAGCGUGGCCAGAGCGGAUGCCGAGGCCGAGGAGGCGCCGAGAGCGAGUGAGAGCUGCUAGCACGUUGUCACCUCUCAGGACCACUAGAAAAAAGGGUGACAAUUUGGAUGUGAUUUUUACUUGCAAAGAGUAGGUCUUGUCCAGGACCAGACAACUCUCCAGGUCAGCGGUCUUCUGCACAGCACACUGGAGACCUAGGCUAAGAGAUGCUCUGCCAGCUGGGCUGUGGCAUGUGAAACCCAUCGUCUCUCCAUUCAGAGGAGCAGGGCAAGAGAACCGCACAUCACCUCUUAUAUACUUCUACCCCAAGGAAAAUUGCCGCAUGUCAGAGAAAUGAGGAUGAAUACUUUCCCAUUUAACUUCCCUUCCUUCUUGGAUCUAUGCUCUUACAGUGGGAUUUGGGUACUUUAUCAUUUACAAUUUUGAUUUCAUUUCAACCAUUUAACUGCACUUUAAAUUUCUCCUUUGCUUGCACUUUCUGCCUCAGACUUUAUUUUUAGGACCUCUUACAGUGGAACAUUCAAGGUACACAUUCAAGAUAAAUAUUGAAUCCAGUGAAACACUUUGUGUUGAUAAACCCUGACUUGCCUAGAUAGGAAGGAGCUAAUGGAGCCCACGCAAUUGUGAUAGGGAUGCCUUCUUUUAAAAAUCCUAUUAUAACAUGGAAGAUAUUUUCAAAAAUAAGUAUACCACAGUAGUAUAUUGAAUGCUACAUUAUUUAAAUGCUAAGAAACAAUUUUUUUCAUUAUACUUAAUAAUGGUUAGAACCUUUAAAUUAUUAUAUCCAAGUUUGUCAACAUGUAAAAUUAAAUGAGAAUAGGCUAUAAUAAAAAAGAAUAAAAUGAUGUAAAAUCAGGAAAAGUAAUAAAUGAAAGAGGAGUUGCUGAGCCUGGAAAAGAGGAAGAGAUAUGGCAACUUAGUGACAGUGUGAGGAAGGGGUGUGGGGAGGAGCACUCUGAUGUACUGAUUGCUAUUUACGAUUUCAUCUGUGUAGAUUUUUAAGCAAAAAAAAAAAAAAAAGUUAAAAUUUUACCCAUGGAAAAUUCAGAUAGAUAUAAGAAAUAUAUUCUUUGUAAUCCAAGUGCAUUAUUAAGGAACAACACUGUAGAUUUCCCACUAAUUAUAAAAUGUGAUGAAAAUCUUGGAUGGUUGGAGAGUUAACUUGGCCAUGGGGCAUGAAUCUAUCAUAAAUAAUCUCCAGAUGUCUUGUUCAGCUGUAUUUUCUGAUAACCAAUUAUACUGUAAAAAAAA
This is a long non-coding RNA of Pongo pygmaeus (Bornean orangutan), 1617 nucleotides long. RefSeq lists it as uncharacterized. The transcript has 3 exons. The record is from RefSeq and is a predicted model, not a curated record. Lineage: Eukaryota; Metazoa; Chordata; Mammalia; Primates; Hominidae.